This is a long non-coding RNA of Ornithodoros turicata, 299 nucleotides long. RefSeq lists it as uncharacterized. The record is from RefSeq and is a predicted model, not a curated record. The transcript is spliced from 3 exons. Lineage: Eukaryota; Metazoa; Arthropoda; Arachnida; Ixodida; Argasidae.
GCUCCCACGGAGGAUACAAUAGCCAUAUCAAACGGUAUCGCGCCUACAAAGAAACGACCCAGCCAAAUGUUCUCUCUACUGUAUUCCUUACUUCCAGACGAUGACUACUACAUGAGGGAUCCGGCAACAACAACCUCACCUCCCCCAUCUGUGCUGCUGUCCCUUAUUUUUGUCUAGACUGUCGUCCGCUUCCUUCAAAUUGAAUUUCACUUUUUCCCCACGUAUACAGGGUAUCUGGAGCAAAAGGCAUCAGCCCGAGGCAAAAGCGCCAGCUACUCGCAGUCAUCGCAAAGCCAAAG